AGAAGGAUGCGGAGGUAGGUGGGGCUGUUGCUCCGCUCGGGACCCCAUUGGGUAGUCGAUGCAAGGAGGGGAAAAUGGCGGAGUGAGGGGAAGAAGUGAAGUAAGAGCCGUGGGCUGCGGCCCAAUGGCCUCAGCUGAGGUCCAUACAUAAACCAUCUUGAUUGCCAGGUGGAACAAGAAAAUUGCUUUACCAGAAAGCUAAAGACAUUAUACAUGAAGAUUUGUGCGGCCCUGAAACAAACAGUGGUUUUAACUUGUUGUGGUGUAGUCUUAGGUUUUGGAAGGAGCUGAGCGGAAAGAUGGGAUUCCUCCCCUUGGACAUGAAUUCUCCAAGUCUAAAUGCUAACUCUAGAGGUUUCUGAAUCAAGACUCUGUGCAAGAGCAAACCUCAUUAAUAUGAAUUUGAAGAUAACUACUCAAAAAAAUAACAAUUAAGGCAAGCAGUUAAGAUAAGGACCUUUAUGGUGGAUGCAGCCAAGUCUGAUCUUGAAGCAUCAUCUGUUCAGGAAAUUACUUGUGAUGAAAGAAGUCAUCUCCAUGAAAGAAAAUGAAGAACCCCUGCUCUGUUUCUGGUCCAGCUCUUCAACAUUUGACAUAUGAAGUUCUUGCAAAACAACUGAAAUGAAUAGCUUACAUUUCACAGAAAGUGUCAACUUCACUAGGUCUUUGCUCAGGAGUUUCUGUUGUCUAGAAGAGAUUGUGCAUACAGGCACUGGCAAAAGACAGUACUGAUUGGUAUUUUUUACCUCUUUUCAAAAUACCUUGGUUAACUGUCAACUCUCUACAUAACCUUGGAGAAUCUAGCAAACUGAUGAGUCUUAUGAACAUAAUGCCAGUCUUUCAACAUGAAAAGUUGUGGUAGGCUAACUAGGAUGUAUGUGUUCUCUAAAGUGAGGAAUCUUAAAAUACUCUCUGAAAAAUACCUCAGCUGGGAUUUUUCAGCCCUUAAAAGUUACCGAUUUAUAGAAAACCGUCUUAAUGUUGCUGUCUUUAGCAGCUUGUGCAAAGAAACUGAUUGGCAUUUUGUCCACUGUCUGAGUGCAUCCUUGUUUUUAAAGAAACCCAACAAAUCUGCAUGUUUACAUCUACAUAUUUGCUGGAAAGGAGAUGUUGCUGCUAUUCUGACAAAUCCCUUCUCAAGGUGAAGCUCUGAUUAAAAGUACAUGCAAGCAAGCUGAGAGGAAUGGGGGGGGGGUGGAGGGGUUAAGCAGCAUCUCCAUUUGUCCCUACAGAAUUUAGCAGCAAAAUGAGCAAUAGGUUUCUCCAGUUCAAGUUUUUACCCCAGAGGGAACAAAUGUGAUAGUGAAAAAAUAUAUGUGAAAUUAUCCACCACUUAGAUGAACAAAGGCUAGACACACUCAAGAAGGGCUUCUUCACUGCUUCCUUUGGUGUCUCCACUUGCAGUUAAGGUGGAAGUUGUGAUUUUAACAAGUUUACACAGGAUUCUUUAUUGUCUGUGUGUGACUUUUAUGGGACAUUUUGCUUUAGCACAGGAUAAUAGAUAAUUGCCAGGAUUGGUGGCUUCCUGGUAUAAAGGUCUUAUCUAUUUAUGCUGAACCUGGAGCCCUCAGUAGUGCACCUUACUUAUUAAAUGUGAAUUUAGAACAGGUUUGCCAGAUGAUUAAAAAUCCCUUAUCGGGAUUUAAAUGGUGAUAUGUUUUGUAAUAACUGUCAAUAUUGGCUAACAAAAAUUCUUAGAAUAGCCUAGCAUCUGGUGAUAGAUAGCAAGGGCAUUAUUUUCUGGCAUGGACAUGAAUAAAUGGACCAUACCAUUAACUAA
Molecule: long non-coding RNA, 1780 nt
Organism: Heteronotia binoei (common prickly gecko)
Lineage: Eukaryota; Metazoa; Chordata; Lepidosauria; Squamata; Gekkonidae
Exons: 4
Source: RefSeq, a predicted model, not a curated record